This 5479-nucleotide unclassified non-coding RNA is filed under the name Anthonomus grandis grandis. RNAcentral describes it as "mAP kinase-activating death domain protein". Lineage: Eukaryota; Metazoa; Arthropoda; Insecta; Coleoptera; Curculionidae. The record is from RNAcentral.
GUACUAUGUGCUUCGUGAAAAGCUUCAACAAAAUUGGUAAACCAUGCAGAAAAUAAUGUUUGCCGUGGCGAAUGUAUUCGGUGAUGUGCGUGAACUUUAUUAUCGCUUAAAACAUAAAACCGAAUCGUAUCAACCCUGAGACAUGUCCUACUCUCGAUCAAGAACAGAUUACAAGCCGUAUUUGAUGAGUUGACCCAAUUUCCUAGAUAAACAUUAAGACAGAAUGGAUGCAGAACGACAAUUUCUAUGCCCCCGACUAAUUGACUAUCUGGCGAUCGUCGGAGCCCGGCACACACCCUCUUCGGUGAAGCAAAGUGCGAGCCCUCAUAUACAAGCUCCAGAAUUGCUUCGUCGUUAUCCAAUCCAGGACCACAAAGACUUUCCUAUGCCUGUGGAUAUGGUGUACUUCUGCCAACCAGAGGGGUGUUCCUCCGUCGGCCCUAGAAGGACGGCCCUUCGCGAAGCCUCCUCUUUCGUAUUUACGUUAACCGAUAAAGAUUCUGGCAAAACGCGGUAUGGAAUAUGCGUGAAUUUUUAUAGAUCUGUGGAGAAAAGCUCUACACUAUUCGGGUUUAAUAAAGCACGAGCCAACACUGGUAUGCGAAGGGAUUCUUGGAGGAAAAGUAUGGAGAAGAGUUCGGAUUCUGCUUUUUCAAGUGACUAUAGAAGUAGCAACAUAAAUCCAAGCGACUCCGAAAAGGAUUAUCCGCCAAGCAGACGUGACUCCGAAUCUACUGCUCCAAACACUUUGCCUUCAUCAAGACUUGCUGUAGGUGGGAACGACUCCGAAAGUGGAGGAAGCCAUUCACCUUCACCAAGAGCCAGCAGAAGAAGACAGAGAAUAAGGAAUCACUCAUUGACAUCUCUCUGUAUCCUCUCUCAUCAUCCAUUCUUCACCAUGUUUAGGGAGUGCCUUUAUAUUUUGAAAAAGCUCAUUGAUGCUUGUAAUGAAUCUUCACAUCCAAGAAGAGUUGGGGCGUCUAAACAAACUUCAAGGGAUAGCGUUUGGAGUGUUAUAACUGGUCAAUCAAAUGAAGGCGCCUCAUCAAUUGUGCUGCACGAUGUUAAAGAAAUAGAAACCUGGAUAUUAAAACUACUUUCUGCUCCUGUUCCUAUUCCCGGAAAGACUAAGGUGGAAGUGGAAGUACUUUCUCCAAGCGUAUACGAACCAUUAGUAUUCGCCUUACCGAGUCAUACACGAUUUACUUUGAUAGACUUUCCACUUCACCUGCCACUAGAACUGCUAGGAGUAGAAACAUGUUUAAAGGUGCUAACAGUAAUACUAUUAGAAAAUAAGGUUGUAUUCCAGUCGCGAGACUACAAUGCUCUGUCUAUGUCUGUGAUGGCUUUUGUUACGAUGAUAUACCCGUUAGAAUAUAUGUUUCCUGUAAUUCCUUUGCUACCUACUUGUAUGAGUUGUGCUGAACAACUUUUGCUUGCCCCAACGCCAUUUGUGAUAGGACUUCCCGUUAGUUUUUUAAUGUACAAGAAGAACUUUAGGUUACCAGAUGAUAUAUGUUUAGUUGACCUAGAUUCCAAUAAGUUACAUUCUCCUACAGAAAUACCCCCGUUGCCCGAACCAGAAGGGACAAUAUUAAAAAACCACCUUAAGCAGGCAAUGCAGCUUAUGGAUCAAGUUGGCACUGGAGCGAUGUCCAAUUUAUCAACACCAAGCAAUAAUAGCGCACAACUACAGCCUUCAAGAAGAAACAGUGUCUCUUUGACACCUCAAACCACUCUAGGAGUUGGUAUACCUACAAAAUCACCAGAAGCCUCAUUACCAGGUUCACCAAAUCAAAGAAUGUCACUCACUCCACAAUCUCCAUUACCACCUCCAGCAACAAGAAUUUAUUCACCAACACAGCAAGGCAAUCCAUUUAUUUACGGAAAUGAUGUUGACUCAGUUGAUGUUGCUACAAGAGUGGCUAUGGUUCGUUUCUUUAACUCUCAAAAUUUACUAGCGAACUUUAAUGAGCACACGCGAACUCUACGGUUAUACCCCAGACCUGUCGUGGCUUUCCAGAUAAACAGCUUCCUAAGGUCUAGACCAAGAGCUUCUCAAUUUUUAAACAAAUUUGCCAGGACACAAGCUGUAGAAUUUUUGGCAGAAUGGUCCCUUACACCCACAAAUGUUGCCUUUCAAAGAGUACAUACAGGAGUUCUAGAUCCAGCUUUAAUCGGAGAUAAACCCAAGUGGUACUUACAUACUCUGGAACCCAUAAAGUUUAUUGUUUGGGAUGAUGGAAGUUCAUUAAAUGGUGCCUUAAGAAGUAUUCAAAGCCACGAAAACCAACCAACAGAUGAAAGUGGUUCAGACUCAGAAGAGGGUGAGAGUACUAGCUCAAGCUAUUCGUCGUUAAGUGAUUUCGUAUCAGAAAUGGCUUCCUCUGAUCUAUCCCCUGGGUAUCUUUCCUACCACGAUCAAAGAAAAGCGUCUGCUCAAAGCAUGACUUUUUCCUCAAAUAUCGAUGCGGAUAGUAUCUACAAGCCACCAUCCGAACUAAAAUAUCCCGAUGGAGAAACUCCUGUGCAAAGACCCGAAUCUCCCGCCUCUUCGAGUAGCUCUAGCUCAGAUUCUGAUCUAAGCUCUCCAUCAUUUAACAGGGAUUCAGAAUUUGAGUUUAAUAAAAAGGAAGAGGUUAAGAAGCCGAAAGAAAAAAUUGAGAAGGACGAUACAGUCUCUAUUGAGAAUGAGUCGGAUUCGAACUCUACAACUACACCUAAGACAAUAGUUAGUAAUAAUAAUCAAAAAAGUGAAGCGUCUUCAGUAGAGGGAGAUAAGGUGUCUACUAGGAGAAUAAGGAAGGUUCCUCCAAUUACACCAGCACCACUUCAAAAACAACCAAGCGUUGGCAACGUAUUUUCAAAAACUUCAAGCGUGGGCUCUUCUGGUUCACCUAGUCCAGGUCCGAUUCAUUCUGCAAGCAGUGUGGGCAGCUCUGCAAGUGGAUUAACUCGACAAGGCUCCCAAGGCUCAAUUUUCGAAAGAUUCGCUUCAGAAGCAAAAGAAGCGUUUAGAGAAACUACUCGGCAGAGCAGUCAGGAUGGAAUAUUGGCUCAAAUGGAUAAGUUUAAGUCACAGGCCAAAGAGAAACUUAAUGAAGCAGAAGAGAGUCACUUAUUUGCUCCUUUUGAUAAGCUGACUAUUCAAGCAAAAAAAGCAGCUGAAGAAGCAACAAAAAGUAUGCAUGAAGCAAGUAAAUCAGCUCUCGAAGCCAGUAAGUCAGCUACUGCAAUGAGCAAAAAUACUAUUGAUGAUUUAACGUAUGUUGGAAAAUCCACAUUUGGGGAUUUGACUAAAUCUGCAAAAGAAGCUGUACAAAUGAAAGGAUUAUUGAGAAAUGAUUCCUUCAAUAGACCGGAUUCUAGGAGAGACUCAACAAGCAGUACCACCUCUAUUGUAGCUCAUUCAGCGUUAGCAGGUGCCAGUAGAGAUUUUUUUUCAAACAUACAGUCUGACCUCAACGGCAUUGCCUCAAGUACUACCAACAUAUUCUCAGAUUUCUUUGGAAACAAGAAGGAUGCUAGGCAGGACCAGUCAUCACACAAGCCGAAAGAAACAAAAUCAAGUCUGUUUGGCCCUUUCCAGAGAGGGCCUAAAGGUAUUGUUGAAAAAAGUCCUCUUAUUAAACAUGUACCCAAGAAACAGGACGAGAUGCAAAGGAGGCAAAGCAUGGAUAAAACUGCUACUAAUAGUGAUAAUCAAGCAUUUUUGAAAGACGUUAUCACAAGUGUUCUUGAUGGUGAAGGAGUAGGUUGGCUCAAAUUUAAUAGACUAAAAAAACUAAUGGAAGAAGAAACCUAUCGUAACUUUGUAGUUAGCAAAAUUAACAAAACUCUUGAUAAAAAGAUAGCUCCUGAUGAUCAUAUUGAUGAUGUGUGUGUCCCUAAACCAGUAUGGAAAGGUAUGUUAAAAGUCCUACAAGCGAUCCAACAUGGCUUAGAAGUCACGUUUAGUAAUUAUGGGCUUGGUGGUAUGGCAUCGGUGUUUCAAAUGCAAGAAAUUGCUCAUACACACUAUUGGACCAAAGAUGUCGGCGACUCAGCAUCUGCUGAUAUAACUCAGGCUUCAAGUCCCAAAUCCCCCCAAAGUCCAAGAUACUCUUUACAGUCAUCAGACUGGGAGAAUGAUAGUAGAAAAUCAUCUCAAGCUGAACCUCCGGAGGUUCGUCUAAUACAUGAAGCGGACUCUGAUAAGGAGCAAUCAGCCACUGACAUCUUCAAGGAUAUGAUAACCCAAAAGAAAAACUUAUUGUUAAGCAAAUUAACGUCAUUUGAUUCAGAUGUUGAUGGAACUUUUCAUGGGUCUGGAGAUACCAUAUCACCGGGUUCUAUCACUACCGGACCAGCCGGAGGCCUUCAUAGGGGUGGGAAUCAUGCAUCAUUUCGUUCAACUGUAUCAGAUACAGAGGUAGAAACACUACAGUUUCCUAAACUUCCCAAGCAACGUACUUCAAGUGUUUGGUCAAGCAAAUCUUCACUUAGUACAGGAUUUAGAUACCAUGGUGGUCAUAUAGUAAAUACCGCUGCCUCGCCUUCACCCGACGCGGUAAGAACUUACCUCUUUGAAGGCUUAUUAGGUAAGGAACGGUCGCAUCUUUGGGACCAAAUGCAGUUUUGGGAGGAUGCGUUUCUUGAUGCUGUGUCGCAGGAAAGGGAUAUGACUGGCAUGGACCAGGGGGCGCGAGAAAUGAUGGAACGUUACAAAGGAUUAAGUGACACAGAGAGAAAAAGGCUGGAGCACGAAGAAGAUCGACUAUUAGCAACGUUCCUUUACAAUUUAACAGCAAUAUUAGUAAUGCUAAACUGCACGAAGGAGGAAAUUAAGCGAAAAAUUCGAAGGUUGUUGGGAAAAAGCCAUAUUGGUUUAGUUUAUAGUCAAGAAAUUAACCUUUUGUUAGAUCAAAUUCACAAUUUGAAUGGAAACGACAUUGACCUUAAACCUUUAGGAUCUAGAACCCUACAUAGACAAAGUUUUACCGUUCAUCAAGGAAUUGAUUGUACUGGGGAUCUGCGCUUUUUAGAGGUUCGAGAUGAUGGACUUGUAAUCAGAUCAACAAAUGGAGUUAUCAUUGAAAGAUGGUGGUUUGAAAGGCUGGUCAAUAUGACGUAUAGCCCGAAGAAUAAGGUGCUUUGCUUGUGGAAGCGUACUGGAGGGCAAACGCAGGUCCAUAAGUAUUAUACGAAAAAGUGUAAGCAAGUUUACUAUUGCAUAAAGGAGGCAAUAGAACGUAGCGGCAAUAUCCAGAGUGUUCCCGAAUUAGGAGGCGAAUUCCCAGUUCAAGAUAUGACAACUGGCGAGGGAGGACUACUCCAAGUUUGCAUGGAAGGCGUGGGAUUAUUAUUCGCCAACAGCAAGGACUUUGAGGUAUUACAUUAAAAAUGUUUUUCGUCAGGUUAUCUCAUAUAAGAAAAUGCUAUACACAAAAAGGCAGCAUUUUCAUUAUAGAGGAAUUUAAUCCAAAAACACGCCAAGUAC